Molecule: ribosomal RNA, 872 nt
Filed under: uncultured bacterium
Lineage: Bacteria
Description: bacterial SSU rRNA
Rfam family: Bacterial small subunit ribosomal RNA
Source: RNAcentral
ACAUGCAAGUCGAGGGGCAGCGGGAUUGAAGCUUGCUUCAAUUGCCGGCGACCGGCGCACGGGUGAGUAACGCGUAUCCAACCUUCCGUACACUCAGGGAUAGCCUUUCGAAAGAAAGAUUAAUACCUGAUGGUAUGAUGAGAUUGCAUGAUAGCAUCAUUAAAGAUUCAUCGGUGUACGAUGGGGAUGCGUUCCAUUAGGUAGUAGGCGGGGUAACGGCCCACCUAGCCUACGAUGGAUAGGGGUUCUGAGAGGAAGGUCCCCCACAUUGGAACUGAGACACGGUCCAAACUCCUACGGGAGGCAGCAGUGAGGAAUAUUGGUCAAUGGACGAGAGUCUGAACCAGCCAAGUAGCGUGAAGGAUGAAGGUCCUACGGAUUGUGAACUUCUUUUAUAAGGGAAUAAAACCUCCCACGUGUGGGAGCUUGUAUGUACCUUAUGAAUAAGCAUCGGCUAACUCCGUGCCAGCAGCCGCGGUAAUACGGAGGAUGCGAGCGUUAUCCGGAUUUAUUGGGUUUAAAGGGAGCGCAGACGGGUCGUUAAGUCAGCUGUGAAAGUUUGGGGCUCAACCUUAAAAUUGCAGUUGAUACUGGCGUCCUUGAGUGCGGUUGAGGUGUGCGGAAUUCGUGGUGUAGCGGUGAAAUGCUUAGAUAUCACGAAGAACUCCGAUUGCGAAGGCAGCACACUAAGCCGUAACUGACGUUCAUGCUCGAAAGUGUGGGUAUCAAACAGGAUUAGAUACCCUGGUAGUCCACACGGUAAACGAUGGAUACUCGCUGUUGGCGAUAUACUGUCAGCGGCUUAGCGAAAGCGUUAAGUAUCCCACCUGGGGAGUACGCCGGCACGGUGAAACUCAGAGGAAUUGACGGGG